AACUAUUUUAAUUAGCAUUAUACAGUGGAAUGCCAUGGACGAAGAGUCAGAAGAAUUCAGAUUCUUUAACAACCGACCAUCCUUCAAAUUUCUCAUCUUCAGAAGGGGAUCCUACUUUUUUCCCUUGUGGGGUUCUAACAAGAAACAAACCGGAAAGUGCUCUGUAAAGUGAAGCAAUUCCCGUGUCCAAAAGAUCUCCUAUCAACUCCCUACCCAGGACAGCCUAGAGGGGAAACUGAUGAGAACGAGGAGUUUUGCUUUAUCCACCAUUAAAACUGAAAGGGUUUCCCCCUAAAGAUCUGCCAUCAAGAGCUGAGCCACUGACGCCAUUCCUAGUUCCACUGCUACUAGAAGCCUUCAUCACUUGCAAUAAUAGAGGAUGAUGAUUCAUUACAAUAAAAACAGUAUCUACUC
Molecule: long non-coding RNA, 414 nt
Organism: Homo sapiens (human)
Lineage: Eukaryota; Metazoa; Chordata; Mammalia; Primates; Hominidae
Source: Ensembl